UUGAAUGGAAUGAAUCAAAACAUGGCAUGAAUGUUCCUUAUGAGGUGCUGACCAAGUGUUGUUACUUUGUUGCCGAUCCAUCAUCCAAGAUGGCCGCCAGCCGGGGACUUAGUUUAACAUAGGACCCUAUGGGAAAUGCAUACAAAUGACUUCUUUUAGAGAACCACUGAAUGGAAUAAAACCAAACAUAGCAUGAAUUAUCCUUAUGGGGUGCUGACCAAGUGUUGUUACUUUGUAGCCGAUCCAUCAUCCAAGAUGGCCGCCAGCGGGGGACUUGGUUUAACAUAGGACCCUAUGGGAAAUGCAUACAAAUGACUUCUU
RNAcentral lists this long non-coding RNA (321 nucleotides) under Mytilus galloprovincialis (Mediterranean mussel). The record is from RNAcentral. Lineage: Eukaryota; Metazoa; Mollusca; Bivalvia; Mytilida; Mytilidae.